GUGAAUCAUCAAAUCUUUGAACGCAAAUUGCGCUUCCUGGUAUCCCGGGGAGUAUGCCUGUUUGAGGGUCAGUAGUAACAAAAAGUCGGUGUGUGGUCAAGUGGGUGCGUUUCCGGAGUUUGGGCUUAUCUUAACUGUUUGGGUUAAGGGGCUUAGGAUUGACCUUUUUGGCGCAUUUUUAGACGUACAUAAGUUUUUUUUGAUGCGUCUAUUCUUAAUGCCAAAAUCUUAUUAGAUGCGAGCACAUCGUGGGACUUCGGGUCCAUAAAAUUUUCAUGAUUUGACGUCGAAU
RNAcentral lists this unclassified non-coding RNA (292 nucleotides) under Glomeraceae sp. Its description in RNAcentral is "partial contains 5.8S ribosomal RNA and internal transcribed spacer 2". The stretch from base 1 to 71 matches the Rfam family "5.8S ribosomal RNA", at positions 84 to 154 of the family's 154-position model. Lineage: Eukaryota; Fungi; Glomeromycota; Glomeromycetes; Glomerales; Glomeraceae. The record is from RNAcentral.